This 446-nucleotide ribosomal RNA is filed under the name Puniceicoccales bacterium. RNAcentral describes it as "bacterial SSU rRNA". It matches the Rfam family "Bacterial small subunit ribosomal RNA", at positions 1 to 427 of the family's 1533-position model. The record is from RNAcentral. Lineage: Bacteria; Pseudomonadati; Verrucomicrobiota; Opitutia; Puniceicoccales.
CUAAUGGAGAGUUUGAUCCUGGCUCAGAGUGAACGCUGGCGGCGUGGCUAAGACAUGCAAGUCGAGCGGGAUUUAUUAACAUGAGUCGCAAGAUGAAUGAAGAUGAUGAGAGCGGCAAACGGGUGCGUAACACGUGAACAAUCUGCCCUUUAGUUGGGGAUAGCUCGCCGAAAGGUGAAUUAAUACCGAAUGUGAUUUCCCUCCGCAUGGAGGGGAUAUUAAAGCUUGCAAUGGCGCUAAAGGAGGAGUUCGCGGCCUAUCAGCUUGUUGGCGGGGUAACAGCCCACCAAGGCUAAGACGGGUAGCUGGUCUGAGAGGAUGAUCAGUCACAGUGGAACUGAGACACGGUCCACACACCUACGGGUGGCAGCAGUUUCGAAUCAUUCACAAUGGGCGAAAGCCUGAUGGUGCGACGCCGCGUGGGGGACGAAGGUUUUCGAAUUGUA